GAUGAAGAACGUAGCGAAAUGCGAUACGUAAUGUGAAUUGCAGAUUUCAGUGAAUCAUCGAAUCUUUGAACGCACAUUGCGCCCGCUGGUAUUCCGGCGGGCAUGCCUGUUCGAGCGUCAUUUCAACCCUCAAGCUCUCCGGAGUUUGGUGUUGGGGCGCCUGGGGCUUUUCGACCUCAGGGCCCUCAAGUCCAUCGGCGGGACCGCCAGGACACUGAGCGCAGUAGUAUUAUUUCGCUCGGUAGGAUCUUCCACGGCGGGUCGAUCUGGCCGCUAAACCCCCCAAUUCUCACCAAAGGUUGACCUCGGAUCAGGUAGGAAUACCCGCUGAACUUAAGCAUAUCAAUAAGCGGAGGA
This 357-nucleotide unclassified non-coding RNA is filed under the name soil metagenome. Its description in RNAcentral is "partial contains 5.8S ribosomal RNA, internal transcribed spacer 2, and large subunit ribosomal RNA". The stretch from base 1 to 120 matches the Rfam family "5.8S ribosomal RNA", at positions 35 to 154 of the family's 154-position model. The record is from RNAcentral.